RNAcentral lists this ribosomal RNA (294 nucleotides) under uncultured bacterium. RNAcentral's name for it is "partial 16S ribosomal RNA". It matches the Rfam family "Bacterial small subunit ribosomal RNA", at positions 775 to 1067 of the family's 1533-position model. The record is from RNAcentral.
GGAUUAGAUACCCUGGUAGUCCACGCCGUAAACGAUGAGUGCUAGGUGUCGGAGUCGACAGGCUUCGGUGCCGCAGCUAACGCAUUAAGCACUCCGCCUGGGGAGUACGGUCGCAAGACUGAAACUCAAAGGAAUUGACGGGGGCCCGCACAAGCAGCGGAGCAUGUGGUUUAAUUCGAAGCAACGCGAAGAACCUUACCAGGUCUUGACAUCCCUCAGACUACUUUAGAGAUAAAGUUUUCCCUUCGGGGACUGAGGUGACAGGUGGUGCAUGGUUGUCGUCAGCUCGUGCUG